UUUUGGCCAUUUGAAAAUGGGUUUUUAUUGGAACAAUACAGAGAUUAGCAUGGCCCCGUACAAGGAUGACAAAUUCAUGCAGCAUUCCAUAUUUUU
This is a small nuclear RNA of Callithrix jacchus (white-tufted-ear marmoset), 96 nucleotides long. The record is from Ensembl. NCBI's taxonomy places the organism in Eukaryota, Metazoa, Chordata, Mammalia, Primates, Cebidae.